UACAGAGGUCUCAAGCGUUGUUCGGAAUCACUGGGCUUAAAGGGCGCGUAGGCGGGUGCUCAAGUCUGUGGUGAAAUCCUCCGGCUCAACCGGAGAACUGCCAUGGAUACUGGGUGCCUCGAGGGUGGUAGGGGUAUGCGGAACUAUCGGUGGAGCGGUGAAAUGCGUUGAUAUCGAUAGGAACUCCGGUGGCGAAGGCGGCAUACUGGACCACUUCUGACGCUGAGGCGCGAAAGCCAGGGGAGCAAACGGG
RNAcentral lists this ribosomal RNA (253 nucleotides) under uncultured bacterium. RNAcentral describes it as "partial 16S ribosomal RNA". It matches the Rfam family "Bacterial small subunit ribosomal RNA", at positions 524 to 776 of the family's 1533-position model. The record is from RNAcentral.